This 1669-nucleotide long non-coding RNA is filed under the name Schizosaccharomyces pombe (fission yeast). Lineage: Eukaryota; Fungi; Ascomycota; Schizosaccharomycetes; Schizosaccharomycetales; Schizosaccharomycetaceae. The record is from RNAcentral.
UGUUUCCUUCCCCAAUAAACUAAUAGUAUCGCUAAUACCUCCUCCAGGCAGAUUUCCACAUAAGCCAUAUCGAAGUAAAGACUGUAUUUUUUUCAAAGGCAUCUGAUGCUCCAUGGCAAUUUCUUUUAAACUAAUCUGUAUCUCAUGAGUAUUCCAUUCGAUGGUUUCGAACUUGUUUAAAAUUGUUGUUAAAAUUUUUGGAAGCUCUUCUACCGUGAUGAGGGAGGAAACUAAACUUCUAAUUUGUUGAAGGUCAGAUGCCUCAUAAAAAUAGAACACUAUCUUCUCAAACUCCUUAAUCGUGUGCACUUUAUUUUUUAAAAGUAGCAAGAGUUUUUUAGUGUAACUUUUGUCAUGACUUCUAGAAGAAUGAGAAAACUUUUGGAUCAACCUCGGCUGAACCAGUUCGAUAAGCUCAUCGAGUCUGUUAACAUCUGAUAUCGCUCUCCUCAGGUAAUUUUUGUUUAAAAAGUAAAGCUUUUCAAAGGCAACAAUUGAGGAGCUCUUUGUUAGUUUAUCGAUCGAAAACAGAUCGAUAAGUUCUUUCAUCGGGAGAAAAUCACUUUUCUGACGCGAAGACCAGCCCAUUAAGGCAAUAAAAUUAAGAAUUGCUUCAGGAAGAAACCCUUCUUGAAGAAGACUAGAUACAUGUGCAUCAUUUUGUCGCUUACUGAGCUUUGACCCGUCAGGGUUGACUAAAAGUGGAAGAUGAGCAAAUUUGGGAGGUUUCCAUCCAAAUGCUUCAUAAAGUUGUAUAUGCUUAAUCGUAGAUGGUACCCAUUCCUCUCCUCUAAUAACGUGAGUGAUAUGCAUUAAAUGAUCGUCAACGACAUUGGCAAAAUGGUAUGUGGGAAAUCCAUCAGAUUUUAAAAUUACAAAAUUAUUAGAUUCCUCUAUUUCUCUGGAAUCUGAUUUUAUUGCAAUUUUUCCAUACACCAAAUCAGUGAAUGGUGAAGGUUCCUUCAUUCGGAAUCGAACAACGUAAGGGAAUUUUUUAGAUUUAUAAAGCUUUCUUUGAGCAUCAGUCAAGUCAUCAAUUGAUAUUUCAUGAUAUUUUGUAGAUGAAUCAAUUUUGGUAGUAGCGAUAGGGACCGAAUAAGAUACAUAGGCUCUCCCAGUUUCUAUUAAGUGCUGAGCAUACUUUUGGUAAAUUUGUAAACGGCUCGACUGUUCAUAAGGACCAUAGGGACCACCGACGAUUGGUCCUUCAUCCCAUUGAAGAUUGAACUGCUUUAGUACUUUAUAAAUCUCCAAGUCUGAACCCGUUACUUUUCGCUUUUGAUCAGUGUCUUCUAGGCGCAAAAUAAAUUUCCCGUUCGAUUUCUUGGCCCACAAGUAAUUAAAUAAAGCUGUUCUUAGAGAUCCAAGAUGCAAGAACCCUGUAGGAGAAGGAGCGAAUCUAGUCCGGACUACAGCAGUGGAAUUACAUCUUUUCAGUGAAUAAAAUGAGAUCUUGGAAACUAUAUAUCUUGAACAAAUUAGUUUCGCACAAGAGGUAUAAGAGAGCAUCCAAAAAAAUUACUAUAAACAGAAUUAUUCAGUAUUAUUUUCCAGAAUUGGAUAUAAGGUUGCAAAAUUUUCACUAGCGAAACUCAGUUGUUAACUUGUUAACAUUGAGUGAGAAGUGAUUGUAUUUAUAAUAAAAAUUGUUUUUUAUGAAAAGUAGACA